UAAGUCCGAAUUUCUGGGACUGGCGCCCGAGGGAACGUAUUUUUUGAGCGUUCACCAGGCAAUUAUAUGUAGCUCCGUGAACUGCCACUGCCUCCUGAUUCGGUAGUACGGACAGUAGUGUCUUAGCUGGCCGGUUCGCUCUGAGCUUUGAAGAGAGGUUAGGCAAACCUUCCUGCACGUAGUAGGUCUUGAGAACGUUUUAGUUACUGCCUCACCCCGCUCUCUUCCCCCCCAGGAGCACAGUCCUACAGCAGCUGGACUGUUCCAUGUCCCAGAGCGUAUCCUGUAGAAACAGGAUUGCAAGACAGCUUUUUAAGUUUUUUGUUUUGUUUUGUUUUUAAUAAUUUUUCUGUGGAACAGAGUUCAUGUUCUGUUCGCCAGAUGAUGAAACAUUAGGGAUAAAAGAACAUUUAUUAAUGAAUCAUAACACUGAUCAAAUUCAUUUUUACAUCAAAGGUGUACAAUUUAGCCUACUUCUAGCUGCAGUUUUGUUGUCUUCCAUCCGUUAAGGAGAUCUGGGAAAAAGCAGUCCCAAGAAGGGUGAUGUUGAUGGUUUCCCGAAUUAGUAAACAAACAAAACAAAACAACUUCCCAGCACAGGAACCAACAGUACAAAUGAGACAGAGUAGCAGCUACAAGUUAUUGGGGUGUGUAGUUCACUUAGGCACGGGAGGGGGGAUUUUUCUAGAGCCGCAGGUGCCUGAUGAGGUCGUGGCUCGCCGCCUGAAAUGCGGGUAGGCCAAAUGGAGGUCUGAGUAAAAUGCACAUUGGAUUUCUACAGAUACGUUAUGGGAAAGAAAGAAUGUGAACUAGUUCAUUUUAUGUGGAUGACACGCUGAUAUGGGAACGUUUUUGAAAAUUUAAAAUUACGUAUGUGGUUCGGAUUACGCGUGUUGAAUGGUGCUUUUCUGGAGGAUUCCCCUGAAAGUUGGAUAAGGUAACGCUGUCAGGUUAAAAGAAGGGGCCUGGAGUUAAGGAGACCUGAUCGCUUGUGCUCACAUUCUCUGCUGAGCUGAGUGCCCCUGGGAAAAUGACAGAACUCCUGAGGGCCUUUGUACUGCAUGUGAAAAUGAAGAGUAUGGGCUGGGAAUUCUGGUUGGAAUAGAAAGCAUAGCCUCUUGGGAUUAUUGGUGUCCUUGCUCACUCAGUUGUAGACACAGCACACUUACUGUGCGCUUGAUUUGAGUCUCUUCAGCUUAUUAUGUGGUAUCCUUGAAUUCCUGUGCUCAUGGACCUCAUGAAUACACAUCGAGAUUGGGAGAAAAGAGGUGCAAGGACCAGCCCUGGGACGCUCCAACGUUUAAGAAUCAGGGAGAAGAGGAGAAUCCAGUUGAGAACGAGGAGGAGAAACCAAGGAAGGAGGAGAAAAAGCAAGAAAAGGGUUUCUAGGUGGAAACUAGCAAGUGCGCUCAAUGUUGUUGAAAAGUCAAGCUGGAUGUAGCCUGAGAAUUGACUACUUGCUUGAACCACAAGGGUCAUUGGUGACCUGGGCUAAAGCACUUUUGGUGGAGUGAUAAGGUUGAACUCUAAUUACGAUGGACUCAAGAGGAACAGAAUCUAUGUCUUAUGUUUCAUUAUGUAAAGAAAUCUCUCACUUCCUCUGUGUUUCUUCAUUUCUGCAUUUCUGCCAACCCCCUCAAUUGGGAUAAACCAAACCAGUAUCUUUAUCCAGAGUAUCUUUACUUCUCAGAAAGUGGGAGAAUGGGAAUAAUUAUACGUAUUUUAGUACUUUGUCCCCAUCUCAUCCAUUGGUCUGGUCUGUUUGUAGAAUCCCUGAAAUUGUCCCUGUAUUUUACCUUACCACUUGGCAUGAAGGCUCCCUAAGUAGUUUUAGUGAUAGUAACAGUUUGUCUUAUCCUUUCAAUUUGAAGUGCUUGUUUUCCUGUUAUAUCAAAUGGCUGCUCAGUGAGUAUUCAAGGUACAGAAAUGAUCAGGUUUCAUUUCAAGCUAGCUGGAUAAAGAAUAUAGUUGGCUGGGCAGCAGCUGGGUUCUAGCCUUGAUUCUGAAAUAAUUGUGUGAUUCAGUGAAGGUUCUUAGUUGUAAGAAAAUCUGGGCAGGUCACUUAUGAAAAUUUAAUCUCUAAAAAGAGAAAGCCUUUAAAAUUU
This is a long non-coding RNA of Mustela erminea (ermine), 2105 nucleotides long. RefSeq lists it as uncharacterized. Lineage: Eukaryota; Metazoa; Chordata; Mammalia; Carnivora; Mustelidae. The transcript is spliced from 4 exons. The record is from RefSeq and is a predicted model, not a curated record.